RNAcentral lists this transfer RNA (77 nucleotides) under Gemmatimonadota bacterium. Its description in RNAcentral is "Gemmatimonadetes bacterium tRNA-Pro". It matches the Rfam family "tRNA". From Rfam's summary of the family: Transfer RNA (tRNA) molecules are approximately 80 nucleotides in length. Their secondary structure includes four short double-helical elements and three loops (D, anti-codon, and T loops). Further hydrogen bonds mediate the characteristic L-shaped molecular structure. tRNAs have two regions of fundamental functional importance: the anti-codon, which is responsible for specific mRNA codon recognition, and the 3' end, to which the tRNAs corresponding amino acid is attached (by aminoacyl-tRNA synthetases). tRNAs cope with the degeneracy of the genetic code in two manners: having more than one tRNA (with a specific anti-codon) for a particular amino acid; and 'wobble' base-pairing, i.e. permitting non-standard base-pairing at the 3rd anti-codon position. Lineage: Bacteria; Pseudomonadati; Gemmatimonadota. The record is from RNAcentral.
CGGGGCGUAGCGCAGCCCGGUAGCGCACCCGUCUGGGGGGCGGGUGGUCGCUGGUUCAAAUCCAGUCGCCCCGACCA